GAUGAACGCUGGCGGCGUGCUUAACACAUGCAAGUCGAACGAACAGACGCUGCUUUUGUUGCUUUCUCGUGUGCCGCACGCGUGUGUGACACAUGAGUAACCUGCCCUUAUCUUUGGGAUAACUUCUGGAAACUGGGGAUAAUACCCGAUAGGAGCUCCUGCUGCGCGGGGGUGGUUGGUAAGUUUCGGCGGUGGGGGAUGGAAUCGCGGCUUAUCAGCUUCUUGGGGGGGUAGUGGUUUACCAAGGCUUUGAAGGGUAGCCGGCCUGGGAGGGUGACCGGGGUCAUGGGUACUGCGAGACGGAGCAGAAUCCAACGGGCGGCAGUAGGGGGGAAUAUUGCACAACGGGGGGAAGCCUGAUGCAGCAACGCCGGGUGCGUGAUGACGGCCUUCGGGUGGUAAACCGCUUUCGACUGUGACGAAGCGUGAGUGACGGUAAUGGGUAAAGAAGCACCGGCUAACUACGUG
RNAcentral lists this ribosomal RNA (468 nucleotides) under uncultured bacterium. Its description in RNAcentral is "partial 16S ribosomal RNA". It matches the Rfam family "Bacterial small subunit ribosomal RNA", at positions 28 to 507 of the family's 1533-position model. The record is from RNAcentral.